Molecule: long non-coding RNA, 529 nt
Filed under: Pan troglodytes (chimpanzee)
Lineage: Eukaryota; Metazoa; Chordata; Mammalia; Primates; Hominidae
Description: long non-coding RNA NONPTRT010202
Source: RNAcentral
CACAAUCAGUGUGUAUGGCAGCUGGCCUACAGGUCUUGCUGCACUGCAGCUCUGCCUCUCCUGCAAACUGCUUGAGGGAGAAAGAGCACACUGAGUCCUCGGUCCCAGACCCAAUCUGGGUCUGAGAGGGAUGCUUCUUUUCAAAUGUCCAAAUUGCAGCAAACAACCAUCACCACCAUAACAAAAUACGUUUCUUCCAAAGAAGCAGCACAUCUGACAGCUGAACUCUGAGAUGCUGCGCCUCGUCUCUACAGUCAAUCCAUGCAACCUUCUAGUCUAAAGUCUCCGCUUUGGGGCUACUUCUCAGCAUGAGAACUCCUUAAGAGCGUCAGAGUCUCAGGAUCUCGAGGUGGACAGGCACCCUGAUACAAAAGAACGGUAAGAUGGGGUACAAAAUGGAUUCUGCAGGUACCGGGAGGACGUUGCAAAUCCCAGUGAAGGUGAGUGGAUGCACACACAGCCUGGAUAGACACGAAAUGGCACAAAGGGAGAGCAAGGCUACAUCCCGGAGGGGCAGGGUGUGGGAGUC